This 813-nucleotide long non-coding RNA is filed under the name Bos taurus (domestic cattle). RNAcentral's name for it is "long non-coding RNA NONBTAT015909". Lineage: Eukaryota; Metazoa; Chordata; Mammalia; Artiodactyla; Bovidae. The record is from RNAcentral.
ACUUUUUAAAACUUUAUAAUGGUACUUGAAAAUUUAAUUAAAAUCAUUUUACCAUCCUGGAAUUACAUAAUCAUUACAAUAUCACAUUAUUGAUUAUCUUAUGAGAUUCAUGCUUCUGUAGUGCACAUUAUAUCUUCCAAACCAAUGAUUACUUUCCCGAUGAAUGAAUGUUGUAAUUUUACUCAGUAUAUUUAGAUAGAUCACAGAGUUUUAUAAAACAUUGUACACAAAGUACAAAAAUAAGUGCCUUAUGCACACUCUUUAAUACUGUUUUCGUUUCUUUGGUACCUCAGCUAACUAACUUCACAUAAAUAAUGUCAAUAAUAACAAGAAGGAAAAGAAGCAAGAAAUUGCUUAACAUCUAGAAACUAGAGAUGCAUUUUGCAGACAUCAUGCUUUUUAUCAAGAGAAGAGAUAAUAUCUGGCUAUAUUGUAGUCAGAAAAGUAGAAAAAAAAAAAAGAACUCAUGAAGAAAUAGGGAUAAAAUGCCAAUAAUUACAUCACAUCUUUAAACCACUGAUAAUAACAAAUUGAUUUAAACAGACUGAUCUUCAGCCUAGGAGCUCAAAUAUCACUUAUGAAUUAUUACAGAAAAUGCAAAGUUUCAAAAUUUAUGUUUGGAAAAAGUAUGUAUACUUCAUUGUAAAUCAUCUACUGGAAAGAAAUAAAGGUAUAGACAAGGCUUGUUAAACAUUGUUAAAUUUUAUAAACACAGGUAUAUUUAGAAAAUAGAAAUAGUUAAUAACCAAAAUGUUCUCAAGUAAAUAAAAAGCAUGGAUCCCUGCUCAUUAAGAUCAUAAGUCAAUAUGUGAA